Molecule: ribosomal RNA, 497 nt
Filed under: uncultured bacterium
Lineage: Bacteria
Description: partial 16S ribosomal RNA
Rfam family: Bacterial small subunit ribosomal RNA
Source: RNAcentral
GAUGAACGCUGGCGGCGUGCCUAAUACAUGCAAGUCGAGCGAACGGACGAGAAGCUUGCUUCUCUGAUGUUAGCGGCGGACGGGUGAGUAACACGUGGAUAACCUACCUAGAAGACUGGGAUAACUUCGGGAAACCGGAGCUAAUACCGGUUAAUAUUUUGAACCGCAGGGUUCUAAAGUGAAAGAGGGUCUUGCUGUCCCUUAUACAUGUAUCCGCGCUGCAUUAGCUAGUUGGUAAGGUAACGGCUUACCAAGGCAACGAUGCAUAGCCGACCUGAGAGGGUGAUCGGCCACACUGGAACUGAGACACGGUCCAGAAUCCUACGGGAGGCAGCAGUAGGGAAUCUUCCGCAAUGGGCGAAAGCCUGACGGAGCAACGCCGCGUGAGUGAUGAAGGUCUUCGGAUUGUAAAACUCUGUUAUUAGGGAAGAACAUAUGUGUGAGUAACUGUGCACAUCUUGACGGUACCUAAACAGAAAGCCACGGCUAACUACGUG